GGGAAUGUAGCUUAGUGGUAGAGCACUUGUCUAACAAGCACAAGGCCCUGAGUUCAAGUCUCAGCAUUGCAA
This 72-nucleotide transfer RNA is filed under the name Neotoma lepida (desert woodrat). It matches the Rfam family "tRNA". From Rfam's summary of the family: Transfer RNA (tRNA) molecules are approximately 80 nucleotides in length. Their secondary structure includes four short double-helical elements and three loops (D, anti-codon, and T loops). Lineage: Eukaryota; Metazoa; Chordata; Mammalia; Rodentia; Cricetidae. The record is from Rfam by way of RNAcentral.